GCCCCCGUGGCGCAGCUGGAGAGCGCAGCGGGCUUCUACCCCGCCGGUCGCAGGUUCGAUCCCUGCCGGGGGCG
RNAcentral lists this transfer RNA (74 nucleotides) under Ornithinimicrobium humiphilum. It matches the Rfam family "tRNA". From Rfam's summary of the family: Transfer RNA (tRNA) molecules are approximately 80 nucleotides in length. Their secondary structure includes four short double-helical elements and three loops (D, anti-codon, and T loops). The record is from Rfam by way of RNAcentral. Lineage: Bacteria; Bacillati; Actinomycetota; Actinomycetes; Micrococcales; Ornithinimicrobiaceae.